RNAcentral lists this transfer RNA (85 nucleotides) under Candidatus Peregrinibacteria bacterium HGW-Peregrinibacteria-1. RNAcentral's name for it is "tRNA-Tyr". It matches the Rfam family "tRNA". From Rfam's summary of the family: Transfer RNA (tRNA) molecules are approximately 80 nucleotides in length. Their secondary structure includes four short double-helical elements and three loops (D, anti-codon, and T loops). The record is from RNAcentral. Lineage: Bacteria; Candidatus Peregrinibacteriota.
GGGUAGGUACCGAAGCGGUCAAACGGGGCAGACUGUAAAUCUGCUGGCUCAGCCUUCGGGGGUUCGAAUCCCUCCCUGCCCACCA